Long non-coding RNA from Fukomys damarensis (Damara mole-rat), 652 nucleotides. RefSeq lists it as uncharacterized. The transcript is spliced from 3 exons. The record is from RefSeq and is a predicted model, not a curated record. Lineage: Eukaryota; Metazoa; Chordata; Mammalia; Rodentia; Bathyergidae.
UGGAGAGACAGCAGGGAGCCUGGCGAACUGAGGCAGAGAGCAAGUCAGCGUGUCCAGGCCGCAGCAGUAGAAAACGGAACCAGAAAAGCUCCAACCUGAGAGCAGGGUUGAGUUUGGUUCUGGUUGAUGUGGGGGACCUUGGAGGAUGUGGAGCUGCAGUUUCUGGCCUUCUACCAUGACGCCGCACCCUGUGUGGGGCUCAGCUGUGCGUCACGUAGGGGUCUCUCUGGCACCUUCGGAUUGGGACGCUGCCUCCGGGACGCUUGCUGAGGCAUCUGCUGUGUGACCAGCGACACACGCUCUGUACCCGCCUCACUCACAGCAGAGCACAUCACCCUUGAGCUCUCAGGGUGAGUUUGUUCACGGGCUCACAGGAGAACACUGGGCAUCCUGAGACCUAUCGUUGGGCCAUCUAUGUCCUGGUUCCCAGCAUGGAAGUUGCAUGGUACACACUCAAUAAAUGUCGGCUGGAAGGGUACAUGAACCAGUGGCGCCAGGUGAGCAGCUCUCCUCUACCUGCCCAUCCACCAUGAUGCUUCUCCCUCAGAGUCGCCAGCGAUGGACUGGGACCUCAGAAACAGUGGGCCACACUGGAACUCUCCUCCUCCAAACUGCGAGUGUCAGCUGUUUUAUCCAAGCAAUGGGAAAGCUA